Rhipicephalus sanguineus (brown dog tick) is the source of this 702-nucleotide long non-coding RNA. RefSeq lists it as uncharacterized. The transcript has 4 exons. The record is from RefSeq and is a predicted model, not a curated record. Lineage: Eukaryota; Metazoa; Arthropoda; Arachnida; Ixodida; Ixodidae.
CGUCCAUGUAUUGAAGUCCCACCUCUCAUCGCAUAAUAAUAGCUUGUGAAGAACAACGCUUGUCUUUAAUUAGCCAUUUGUCAGAGCUCUUCCUCCCUCCUCAAAGGGCAAGGUGCUGCUGGCACACCUGCUUCGGCUUUUCUUUAUCUUUUUUUUUGAAUGCUGAAGUUUUUUGCAACGUACUGCAGGUAGCAAACAGCAGUGCCACGACAAACAGUGGAGUGCUGACCAUGCAGUCCAGAAGGUGGCUGAGGCAAGUAUGCUAUAGGAGGUGCUUAUUCAGGCAGAAGAAAUAAGCAUCUGCAGCCAACGUAAAGGAAGCAUCUUCAAAAAGCAGUGCUACAAGGAUGUGAGCAGCAGUUUCCCUUCAACGAACGGGUCAAAUUCAUGGAAGCCACGUGCCUGCUGCUUCUGGCCUACACAAAUAUGCAGCCACCAUAGUAAAGUUCUUGCAAAGACAUUCUACUCAAACUUGCCCAAAGGCGGAAGGAAGGCACGCACUGAUGGACGCACAGAAAUCAUGGGGCUGCCGUAGAAGCUGUGAAUGAGCAUUAACCUACGUACAGAAAGGAGCGAAGUGGAGCUGUCCAUGGGCCGUGCACACAGUUUCAUAAGCAGGCUUGCAACACUUUUGACAAAUAUGUUCCUGAAUACAUCUGCCAAAGUGGCAUUUAAAGAAGCAUGUAGUAGUGUACUUCACUG